Molecule: ribosomal RNA, 478 nt
Filed under: uncultured bacterium
Lineage: Bacteria
Description: bacterial SSU rRNA
Rfam family: Bacterial small subunit ribosomal RNA
Source: RNAcentral
UGAGUAACGCGUGGGUAACCUACCCAAAGUCCGGGAUAACAGCGGGAAACCGCUGCUAAUACCGGAUGCCUUUACCUUGGGGCAUCUUGAGGUAAAGAAAGGUAACGCUUUGGGAUGGGCCCGCGUCCCAUUAGCUAGUUGGUGAGGUAACGGCUCACCAAGGCGACGAUGGGUAGCCGGCCUGAGAGGGUGGACGGCCACACUGGGACUGAGACACGGCCCAGACUCCUACGGGAGGCAGCAGUAGGGAAUAUUGCGCAAUGGACGGAAGUCUGACGCAGCGACGCCGCGUGAGCGAUGAAGGUCUUCGGAUCGUAAAGCUCUGUCCUUGGGGAAGAAGGCGAAAGCUUGACGGUACCCAAGAAGAAAGCCCCGGCUAACUACGUGCCAGCAGCCGCGGUAAUACGUAGGGGGCGAGCGUUGUCCGGAAUUACUGGGCGUAAAGGGUGCGUAGGCGGCCCUUUAAGUCGGAUGUGAA